Molecule: ribosomal RNA, 486 nt
Filed under: uncultured bacterium
Lineage: Bacteria
Description: partial 16S ribosomal RNA
Rfam family: Bacterial small subunit ribosomal RNA
Source: RNAcentral
AUUGAACGCUGGCGGCAUGCCUUACACAUGCAAGUCGAACGGCAGCACGGGUGCUUGCACCUGGUGGCGAGUGGCGAACGGGUGAGUAAUACAUGGGAACAUGUCCUGUAGUGGGGGAUAGCCCGGCGAAAGCCGGAUUAAUACCGCAUACGAUCUACGUAUUAAAGCGGGGGCCCUUCGGGCCUCGCGCUAUGGUGUUGGCCGAUGGCGGAUUAGCUAGUUGGUGGGGUAAAGGCCUACCAAGGCGACGAUCAGUAGCGGGUCUGAGAGGACGACCGGCCACACGGGAACAGAGACACGGCGAAACUGCCGAGGGGAGGAAGGGGGGGGGAUUGUGGGACGAUGGGAGAAGGCCUGAAAGAGCAAUGCCGCGUGUGUGAGGAAGGUUUGGGGAUCGUAGAGUUCUUGUACGAGGGAGAAAAUUGUGGAGCCGAAACAAUGGGGGGGUUGAGGGUACCGGAUAAAAAAGCCCCGGCUAACUAGGUG